AAACUAACAAGGAUUCCCCUAGUAGCGGCGAGCGAAGCGGGAAGAGCUCAAAUUUAUAAUCUGGCACCUUCGGUGUCCGAGUUGUAAUCUCUAGAAGUGUUUUCCGCGUUGGACCGCACACAAGUCUGUUGGAAUACAGCGGCAUAGUGGUGAAACCCCCGUAUAUGGUGCGGACGCCCAGCGCUUUGUGAUACACUUUCAAUGAGUCGAGUUGUUUGGGAAUGCAGCUCAAAUUGGGUGGUAAAUUCCAUCUAAAGCUAAAUAUUGGCGAGAGACCGAUAGCGAACAAGUACCGUGAGGGAAAGAUGAAAAGCACUUUGGAAAGAGAGUUAACAGUACGUGAAAUUGUUGGAAGGGAAACGCUUGAAGUCAGACUUGCUUGCCGGAGCUUGCUUCGGUUUGCAGGCCAGCAUCAGUUUUCCGGGGUGGAUAAUGACGGUUUGAAGGUAGCAGUCUCGGCUGUGUUAUAGCUUUCCGUUGGAUACAUCCUGGGGGACUGAGGAACGCAGCGUGCUUUUUGCGAAAGACUCGUCUUUUUCACGCUUAGGAUGCUGGUGGAAUGGCUUUAAACGACCCGUCUUGACCC
This 586-nucleotide ribosomal RNA is filed under the name Rhodotorula babjevae. RNAcentral's name for it is "partial large subunit ribosomal RNA". It matches the Rfam family "Eukaryotic large subunit ribosomal RNA", at positions 62 to 660 of the family's 3401-position model. The record is from RNAcentral. Lineage: Eukaryota; Fungi; Basidiomycota; Microbotryomycetes; Sporidiobolales; Sporidiobolaceae.